AUUGAACGCUGGCGGCAGGCCUAACACAUGCAAGUCGAGCGGCAGCACUUCGGGUGGCGAGCGGCGAACGGGUGAGUAAUACAUGGGAAUCUGCCUGGUAGUGGGGGAUAACUCUGGGAAACUAGAGGUAAUACCGCAUACGCCCUACGGGGAAAGGCGGGGGAGUCUUCGGACCUCGCGCUAUCAGAGGAGCCCAUGUCCGAUUAGCUAGUUGGUGAGGUAAAGGCUCACCAAGGCGACGAUCGGUAACUGGUCUGAGAGGAUGGUCAGUCACACUGGAACUGAGACACGGUCCAGACUCCUACGGGAGGCAGCAGUGGGGAAUAUUGGACAAUGGGGGCGAACCCUGAUUCAGCCAUGCCGCGUGUGUGAAGAAGGCC
This 380-nucleotide ribosomal RNA is filed under the name uncultured bacterium. Its description in RNAcentral is "bacterial SSU rRNA". It matches the Rfam family "Bacterial small subunit ribosomal RNA", at positions 30 to 416 of the family's 1533-position model. The record is from RNAcentral.